Molecule: ribosomal RNA, 486 nt
Filed under: uncultured bacterium
Lineage: Bacteria
Description: partial 16S ribosomal RNA
Rfam family: Bacterial small subunit ribosomal RNA
Source: RNAcentral
AUUGAACGCUGGCGGCAUGCCUUACACAUGCAAGUCGAACGGCAGCACGGGUGCUUGCACCUGGUGGCGAGUGGCGAACGGGUGAGUAAUACAUCGGAACAUGUCCUGUAGUGGGGGAUAGCCCGGCGAAAGCCGGAUUAAUACCGCAUACGAUCUACGGAUGAAAGCGGGGGACCUUCGGGCCUCGCGCUAUAGGGUUGGCCGAUGGCUGAUUAGCUAGUUGGUGGGGUAAAGGCCUACCAAGGCGACGAUCAGUAGCUGGUCUGAGAGGACGACCAGCCACACUGGGACUGAGACACGGCCCAGACUCCUACGGGAGGCAGCAGCGGGGAAUUUUGGACAAUGGGCGAAAGCCUGAUCCAGCAAUGCCGCGUGUGUGAAGAAGGCCUUCGGGUUGUAAAGCACUUUUGUCCGGAAAGAAAUCCUUGGCCCUAAUACGGUCGGGGGAUGACGGUACCGGAAGAAUAAGCACCGGCUAACUACGUG